This is an RNA transcript of Calidris pugnax (ruff), 5711 nucleotides long. It is a transcript of the gene named GRAM domain containing 4, with no coding region annotated. The record is from RefSeq and is a predicted model, not a curated record. NCBI's taxonomy places the organism in Eukaryota, Metazoa, Chordata, Aves, Charadriiformes, Scolopacidae. The transcript has 21 exons.
CUGGCUCCGGCGGCCUGGGCACCGCGGGGAGCGUGAAUGAGAGUUUGCUCCGAUUUACGAGCAGGAGACUCCAACCGUCAUGUUAAGGUAAAGCAGAAGAGUGCAGUGCUGAACAUGCUAAAGAAGUUGGACAAAAUAAGGUUCAGAGGUCACAAGAGAGAUGAGUUCCUUGAUUUAGCAGAGUCUCCAAAUGCUUCAGACACUGAAUGUGGAGAUGAAAUCCCGGUGAAAAUACCUCGAACGUCAACUCGAGACAAUGAAGAGCUGAGAGACCCUGCUGGUCCAGGGACCAUCAUCAUGGCUUCAGGAGUUCAGGAUUUUAACAGAACGGAAUCUGACAGACUGAAUGAGAUCAAAGGUCACCUGGAAAUAGCCUUACUGGAAAAACACUUUUUACAGGAGGAACUCAGGAAGCUGAGAGAAGAAACAAACGCUGAAACGUUAAGGCAGGAGCUAGAAAAGGAACGGCAGAGGAGAUUAGAACUAGAACAAAAAGUGAAUGAAGUACUUAAAGCAAGGACGGAAGAGGUGCCUGCAGCUCAGCAACCUGCAAAGCCACAGACGCAAGCCAACGGAACAGAUAAGCGAAGUCACACAGUCUGUUCGAGAGUCCAGAAGUGGUUUUUUGACAAAUUUGGGGAGUAUGUUGAGGACUUCAGAUUUCAGCCAGAAGAGAACACAGUGGAAACAGAAGAGCCACUUAGUGCUAGAAGGUUGACUGAAAAUAUGAGAAGAUUAAAGAGAGGUGCCAAACCUGUUACUAAUUUUGUGAAGAAUCUUUCUGCCUUAUCAGACUGGUAUUCUAUCUACACUUCUGCUAUUGCCUUUAUUAUUUACAUGAAUGCUGUAUGGCAUGGCUGGGCCAUUCCUAUGUUCUUAUUUUUAGCAAUUUUGAGGUUGUCCCUAAAUUACCUCAUAGCCAGGGGUUGGAGAAUACAGUGGAGCAUUGUGCCUGAAGUUUCCGAACCCGUGGAACCCCCAAAAGAGGACCUGACCGUGUCUGAAAAGUUUCAGCUUGUUCUAGACGUGGCUCAGAAGGCGCAGAACCUUUUUGGCAAGAUGGCAGACAUACUGGAAAAAAUUAAAAACUUGUUCAUGUGGGUCCAGCCAGAAAUAACACAGAAGCUCUACAUUGCCCUAUGGGCAGCUUUUAUUGCAUCCUGCUUUUUGCCCUACAGGAUUAUUGGGCUUGCAAUGGGACUCUAUGCUGGAAUCAAGUUUUUCCUUAUUGAUUUUAUCUUCAAACGAUGCCCCAGACUAAGAGCUAAGUAUGAUACUCCUUAUAUCAUCUGGACAAGUCUCCCGACAGAUCCUCAGCUCAAAGAAAGGUCUAAUGCUACAGUGUCGAGACGGGCAUCGUUGUAUUACAGUUACCCUAAAAGCUGGAUGCUUCAAACAGCAACAUCCAGAAGUUACGUGGGCUCAAGCUUGCCAACUGGCAUAAGCAAAGAUGAAGACACAAGUCGUUUUCAUACCACCAAGAGGGGGAAUUUCCAUGAAGUUUUUAACCUGUCGGAAAAUGAGCGUCCUUUGGCAGUGUGUGAAAAUGGCUGGCGCUGUUGCUUGAUCAACAGAGAUAGGAAGAUGCCUACAGACUACAUCAGGAAUGGAGUUCUCUAUGUCACAGAAAAUUACUUAUGCUUUGAAAGCUCCAAAUCCGGCUCAUCUAAAAGAAAUAAAGUUAUAAAGCUAACGGAUAUAACGGAUAUUCAGAAGUAUAAAGUGCUCUCUGUUCUCCCGGGAUCAGGGAUGGGUAUUGCUGUAUCAACACCAUCUACACAAAAACCUUUGGUGUUUGGUGCCAUGGUACACAGAGAUGAAGCUUUUGAGACAAUAUUCAACCAAUAUGUGAAAAUAACCUCUGCAUCAUCAAGCAGUGAGAGCUAGUAUCUUAUCUUAGAAGAUCUAAAGGCAACUUUCUUAUUUUACAAUUUGGUAGUGAAAAAAAUGAACAUCCUCAUCUAUUUUGCAAUAAUUUUUCUUGUCUGGUGGUUUAUAUUCUAUCUGUUACAUAAAUCAAGUGUAUUUUAUAUAUGCCUUCAUGUUUGUUUUUAAGGUUUUUGUAAAAAAAAAAAGAAAAAAAAUGAAACAAAACAGUGAAAGUGCUAUCAUCACUAUUAGCCUUGCACAUUAAGCACUUUUAAUGUUUAUUUACUGACAUUAAAAGCUGGGAAGAUACUUGGAGAACUGACUAAAUAAUGAAGUGAAACAGACUGAUCCCUUUAAUUCUACUGAUAUCAUGAGGGAUACAUUUGUCCCUUUAUCUUAGUUCUUUUUCCCCGAGAUGAGAGAACGAUGACUGCAGCAGCCUGAAGUCUCUUUCUUCAGCUCAGAGUUUUUAAUUAGGUUCUUUAUUAAAACUGAUAAGCAACACCAAGGAAGUAUUAUCAUUUUAGUAUUUCCAUAUUUAUAACUGCAUUUAAAAUAACUCCUUCUUGCUAAUUCUCGCAUUGUAGAAGGGUACUUCACCGGUUUGGUUAGGUUCGGUUUUUCCUGCAUAGACAUUUAAAUUGCUUGUACAGUGAAUUGGAGGAGAAAGUUUGUAACUAUAUCUUCCUUUCCUAAUUAACCAAAGUAAGAGGAAGGAAGGCAGGCAGAUACUUUUUAUAAAAGAGGGCACCAAAAUGUUCCUAAAAUGUUAGGCAUCGUAUAUUUGUAUUUCUGUAGAUACUUGUCAUAGAAGGGCUCAACUACUGUACAUGUAUGUACAAAGUGUUUGUAUGUUAAUGCAUUAAAGACUUGCAGGCGUUUUGUGUUGGGGGAGGUGGGAAUAAUUAAACUGGGACAUGAUUUACUUUUUUUUUUUUAAUUGGCUUUUGUCUGGAGUUACCUUGUAAUAAAAUUAACACUACAAUAUAGCAGCUGAAUGCACUAGUUCCUUUUCAAAGCAUAAUUUGAGGGGCAUUGGUAUAUUGCUGUCUUUCCCCUUGCAAAAUUAAAUUUUAGUAACAAUUAAACCCAACUGCCAGGUAGAACAGGAAGGCUGUGCUCCUUCUCUAAACUCUCUCAGGCCUUUUUAGCAGCAAAGCACAUAUUGACCUUUGUCUUUAAUAUUAGAAAGCUUUUAUACUCUAUAUAAUAGCACCCGUCUGAGAGGUUUAGAACUUUAUUUGCAUUUUCAUGAAAGCACAGUAGGAGUUAUGCCAAGCCUUCCAAUAUGUCUUUUCCUUUGCUGGGUCUUUUGAGUUGAGUAGUAUGGAUGUCUCCAGACAUUACAUGAAUGUCCCCAAAAAAUGCAGUGGAGAUGCAAAUCCUUAUGUAAAAGUGGGAGUUAAUUUCAUGGAUUUUUUUUCUCUUUUUUUUUUUUAAUAGAAAUGUUCUUUAUUUAUAAGUAAAGGGGUAAAAUGAAGGAGGGAGAGGGGAGACAAACACCAGAAGGUGUUUAACUCUUGGCACAGUUUAAUUAAAAACUAUCUCUGAACAAAAGCAGUGGUGAUGAAGGUGGCAGUCAAACUGUACAAACCUUAUUUCAGUCUGGCCAAGAAGAGGUAUGAGACGAACUUGAUCUGAAGAAAUACUGUUGAAUACCAUGAUUUGGUUGGGUAUUGUAAAGUGAAACACUGGUGGGGUAAAACUCUACGCCCUGAGUGGAAAGGUGAACAAGAAUGGGGGAGAAUCCACCAUAAUGGCUAAAGUGCUAUUUUUGAGUUCUCCCUUUAGAGUAGCAGUUGAACAUGUCUUCACGUGACCUGCAGAGGGGUGCGUUUCUAACCCCUCCUGAGGCUGCUGUAACUCAGGGCCUGAAAACUUCAAAUGUCAGUGAAGCUGGUGGGAAAUCCAUUUUGCCACCACGUAAUACGGAUGUAGCUUGACAGUUUACAGUUUCUUCACACAUGGAGGUUUUAUGUUUGUGUUAAAAUCCUUGAUCUUAAUUUUUUCUCAUCAAACUUAAUUUAAAAUCAGUGAAUCUCCUUUUGUAAUUGCGGUGUAUUAUCAUUUGGCUUUCCUUUCCAGAAGCUUCCUUGAAUAGUUAUUGUGGCUAAGAAAUAGGCAUUAAAAUCGCUUAAUGUUAUAUAAAUCUUAAUCAGAUUCAUUCAUUUUGUCUUAAGAAAAAAAAGAAAAUCAUUUGGAUGUGUUUAAGGUUAUCCUUUUUUUUGAAGAAACACAAAACUAUAUUUUUUACAAAGAGCAUGCUCUUUUUCUUAUUUUUGUAUCAUUUUUCAAGUGUAAUUUAUACCUUCACUCUGAUCAUGACAGCAGUUUCAGUAGGAAAGCAGUUGACUUGCACUUAUUACCUCCUCCCCCUCCCACCCUUCACUGGUUGGCCCUGGUAUAUAGGGUUGUCCUAGAUUCUGGAUCCUGGAGGAGCUAUAGGUCCUGUGCUGAUGGUGCCAGGACCAUUAACCGUACCUUCGGAGAGGGAGAAAAGAAAUCAUUACCCUUCUCCCAGACUGGAAUGCCUCAUGCGUACAAUAUGCUCUUAAAAUAGUCUUUUUCUGGACAAACAAAUUAGAAACUUCUUAUGAAAUCUAAUGUCUUGGCAUUUGAAAUAAAUCCACACUUUUAGGAGUGUGAACGUAAAAAUUAGCAAUUCUUAAACCUAGUGCAAACUGCAAUGCAACAUUGUUUCAUUCUGAUAUAUAGAAAACAGACUGGUUUCUUUUUUUUAAAAAAAAGAAAAUAGAGUUGUAAUAUAACUGACAAACAUCUGUGUACAUACUUAGCAAAGUGCACUUUACAUUGGGUUGUCCGGGUUGCGGCUCUAUUGAGCUGUUCCUGUGGUGUAGGUGACACCAGACACUAGAAGAAAACCCCGGUGUGUUUGCUCCCAGGGUCUCCUGUGCGUGUCCUCCUGCUGCACCUUCAGGGCGAGGGAUGGACAGGGAGUCAAUAUAGACUUGAUUUGUGUCAUUACACUGAAGUUCACCUUGAAUUCCCAUCAUCUUAGGUAGAGUUGCAGGAUCGCCUGUCCUACUUCAGUAACAGGCUGUGGCUCGUACCACUUCAUGUAAAGUGCUACUUUCUAAUAGCAGAACGUGAUGUUCUUGUCAUUCUGUCUGUCUGUUUGCUGUUUAUACUUGCAAUUCUGUUGAUGUCUGUGGUUCAUUGCUGGAUCAUUCACAUGUAAUCAGAUUUAACUUCUUUAGAAGUGCGUUGGUUGGUUUGAGUCCCUUUUAAAGAGAUUAAAAAAAAAAAAAGGGAGAUGAAAACUGACUGCUUUAAUUCUUUACCGGUGACCGUUUAAAUUCAAAAGGAAAAAAUAAAGCUGAAAUAUGAAAUCAUGCCUUUCCAUGCGCUGUAGCUUUUGUGAGGCAAGAUUGAAUGAAACAAGCUAUUUAUUGGUAGCGACAUCACACAGGACGCCAGCAGCAAAUCCCAACCCUUGUUCCUGCAGACGAAGAGAAAAGAGAUUUUACCCAGACGUGAAGAGAUGAAAGGAUGUACUUUUUUUUGGCUACUUAAACUUGUAUUAAAAACACUGGUAGUUUUUAUUGAAUUCUGUACAUUUUGGCAGAUGUUUAAUUUCUACUAAUCAUUGAAAUAUAAUGGAUGUUAAAAUUUUUAUGUCUGAAGUUUGAGUCUAUAUUUUGAAGUUGUAAAUAAUUCAUUAUCAGUGUAACUUUUGUUUGACAAAAGACUUAUACUGUAUGAAGAAUUGAAAUAAUGAAAUGAUGUGCCCUGUACAUUUUUUAAGAAAAUCUCGUUUGUUUAAAAAGUCUUGUAUAAAUUAUAAUUUUUAUUUAAAUAAACCUAAAAAUGCUUUGUGCUAA